UAGUUUGGAUCCUGGCUCAGGACGAACGCUGGCGGCGUGCCUAAUACAUGCAAGUCGAACGCUUCUUUUUCCACCGGAGCUUGCUCCACCGGAAAAAGAGGAGUGGCGAACGGGUGAGUAACACGUGGGUAACCUGCCCAUCAGAAGGGGAUAACACUUGGAAACAGGUGCUAAUACCGUAUAACAAUCAAAACCGCAUGGUUUUGAUUUGAAAGGCGCUUUCGGGUGUCGCUGAUGGAUGGACCCGCGGUGCAUUAGCUAGUUGGUGAGGUAACGGCUCACCAAGGCCACGAUGCAUAGCCGACCUGAGAGGGUGAUCGGCCACAUUGGGACUGAGACACGGCCCAAACUCCUACGGGAGGCAGCAGUAGGGAAUCUUCGGCAAUGGACGAAAGUCUGACCGAGCAACGCCGCGUGAGUGAAGAAGGUUUUCGGAUCGUAAAACUCUGUUGUUAGAGAAGAACAAGGAUGAGAGUAACUGUUCAUCCCUUGACGGUAUCUAACCAGAAAGCCACGGCUAACUACGUGCCAGCAGCCGGGGUAAAUA
This 547-nucleotide ribosomal RNA is filed under the name Enterococcus faecium. Its description in RNAcentral is "bacterial SSU rRNA". It matches the Rfam family "Bacterial small subunit ribosomal RNA", at positions 9 to 525 of the family's 1533-position model. Lineage: Bacteria; Bacillati; Bacillota; Bacilli; Lactobacillales; Enterococcaceae. The record is from RNAcentral.